CAGCGCUCUGUCGUCGCCGCCGCCUCCUUGUUCGUUGUUGUGAAUGCUAAUUAUGGUCUUGCUCUCCCCUUCCCUCUCCUCCAUUGUUGCUGCUCGUUUCUAGCCCAAGUUUCAUUGUCUCCUUCCCAAACAAUCCUCCUGAUCCAAAAAAGGAUAGUGCCGCAGUUCAGAAAUUCUUUGCCAAUAUGGAAGUCGCAUUCAGGGCGCAUCCACUUUGGAGCUGUUGUUCAGAAGAGGAGCUUAAAAGUGCUGGUGAAUUGCAGGGAGUGGAGACGUUUUUCACUGUAAUUCGGGCUUGUUGCGGGGUCGGAAUUAUUGGGUUUACCUUAUGGUAAUUUUCUUGAUGCUAGGUCUUCAAAGAAACCUGCAUUUUAGCAUCGUCUUUCUAGAGAACGGCAAAUUCAUUGGCAAUCGUCGUCGACUUCUCCGGUGAGGAUCACGUGCCACUGAUUACAGUUGAUGCUGCUCUUCUGCUACACUUUCUCAUAUUCUUUUUAGCAGUCUGUCUUGUGCUAUACAGUGCAGUAACAAUGAUGCUUGGAAAGCUGAAGUUUUCUUUACUCAGCCCUGUUGCUGACUGAUCUGCUCCUACUGACUGAUCUUCUGCUACGCUGCUGCUGCACUAGUGCAAUGUUGCUGCUGAUUGAUAUGUUGUUACGCUGUUGCUGCUGCACUAGUGCAAUGUUGCUGCUGCUGGAUUAUUGUUGUUGCUGCUGCUUGAUUUAUGUUGUUGAUGUAGCUUGAUUAUUGUUGUUGCUGAUGCUUGAUUAUUGUUGUUGCUGCUGCUUGAUUAUUGUUUUUUUUGUUUCUGGUUGCUGCACUUGUGUGAAUGUUCUAACCGCCACAUUUUGUAUGUUUUACUUGAUUCAGGAACUCCCUAGGUACCAUGAAUAAUAACCAAAAUUUGUUGGGCAUGAAUCAGAAUGUGGCAGUGAUCGAGUUAUUACUCCCGCAACAGGUCACGAAUCAUAAGGUCUACACUCCGAGGAUUGCGCCUUAUGCGAGGAAUUUGAUGUGGUUUGUGAGCAAUGGGCUAAGUUUUUUACCAACAAGUAUUUAUUAUUGGCUUUAGCGCGCUUGAUCGAGUUGGUUUAGUUGUUAUAGAAUAAAUUUUAUAUUAAAAUGUAUGUUUAUGUUGAAAUUGGAACAUAUAUUUAAAUGUAAUAUGUGCACUUUGGUUUUGGGAUAUAUAGUAUACAAAACUCCAGUUGUUGUUUUUA
Molecule: long non-coding RNA, 1220 nt
Organism: Spinacia oleracea (spinach)
Lineage: Eukaryota; Viridiplantae; Streptophyta; Magnoliopsida; Caryophyllales; Amaranthaceae
Exons: 6
Source: RefSeq, a predicted model, not a curated record